AACGAACGCUGGCGGCAGGCCUAACACAUGCAAGUCGAGCGCGCCUUCGGGUGAGCGGCGGACGGGUGAGUACCGCGUGGGAAUAUGCCCUUCUCUACGGAAUCGUCCUGGGAAACUGGGGGUAAUACCGUAUACGCCCUUUGGGGGAAAGAUUUAUCGGGGAAGGAUUAGUCCGCGUUGGAUUAGGUAGUUGGUGGGGUAAUGGCCUACCAAGCCGACGAUCCAUAGCUGGUUUGAGAGGAUGAUCAGCCACACUGGGACUGAGACACGGCCCAGACUCCUACGGGAGGCAGCAGUGGGGAAUCUUAGACAAUGGGGGCAACCCUGAUCUAGCCAUGCCGCGUGAGUGAUGAAGGCCUUAGGGUAGUAAAGCUCUUUCAGCUGGGAAGAUAAUGACGGUACCAGCAGAAGAAGCCCCGGCUAACUCCGUG
This 431-nucleotide ribosomal RNA is filed under the name uncultured bacterium. RNAcentral's name for it is "partial 16S ribosomal RNA". It matches the Rfam family "Bacterial small subunit ribosomal RNA", at positions 29 to 507 of the family's 1533-position model. The record is from RNAcentral.